Molecule: ribosomal RNA, 241 nt
Filed under: uncultured bacterium
Lineage: Bacteria
Description: partial small subunit ribosomal RNA
Rfam family: Bacterial small subunit ribosomal RNA
Source: RNAcentral
AGAAUCAACGCUGGCGGCGUGCCUAACACAUGCAAGUCGCACGAGAAAGUGGAGCAAUCCACGAGUAAAGUGGCGCACGGGUGAGUAACACGUGAAUAAUCUACCUCCGAGUGGGGAAUAACUGAGAGAAAUCUUAGCUAAUACCGCAUAAUACCCAGGGUCAAAGCAGCAAUGCGCUUGGAGAGGAGUUCGCGGCCGAUUAGCUAGUUGCGGGUAAUGGCCCACAAGGCGAUGAUCGGUA